UUAACUCAAAUUUGUAUGGAGUUGGCACAUUUGCAUUCGUUUGCCGCUAGGGGUGCUGUUCCAACUGGAUAAAAAAUUUAAAAA
RNAcentral lists this microRNA precursor (84 nucleotides) under Bombyx mori (domestic silkworm). Its description in RNAcentral is "mir-2807 microRNA precursor family". It matches the Rfam family "mir-2807 microRNA precursor family". The record is from Rfam by way of RNAcentral. Lineage: Eukaryota; Metazoa; Arthropoda; Insecta; Lepidoptera; Bombycidae.